AGUGAACGCUGGCGGUAGGCCUAACACAUGCAAGUCGAACGGCAGCACACUGAGAGCUUCCUCUUACGGGUGACGAGUGGCGGACGGGGGGGGAAUACAUUGGAAUUUACUUUUUCGUGCUUGAUCUCGUAGGGAAACUUCCGCUAAUACCGCAUACGACCUACGGGUGAAAGCACGGGCUCUUCAGGCCUUGCGCGAUUGAAUGAGCCGGUGUCGGAUUAGCUAGUUGGCGAGGUACAGGCUCACCAAGGCGACGAUCCGUAGCUGGUCUGAGAGGAUGAUCAGCCACACUGGGACUGAGACACGGCCCAGACUCCUACGGGAGGCAGCAGUGGGGAAUAUUGGACAAUGGGCGCAAGCAUGAUCCAGCCAUGCCGCGUGAGUGAUGAAGGCCUUAGGGUUGUAAAGCUCUUUUAUCCGGGACGAUAAUGACGGUACCGGAGGAAUAAGCCCCGGCUAACUUCGUG
This 467-nucleotide ribosomal RNA is filed under the name uncultured bacterium. Its description in RNAcentral is "partial 16S ribosomal RNA". It matches the Rfam family "Bacterial small subunit ribosomal RNA", at positions 29 to 507 of the family's 1533-position model. The record is from RNAcentral.